This is a long non-coding RNA of Physeter macrocephalus (sperm whale), 589 nucleotides long. RefSeq lists it as uncharacterized. Lineage: Eukaryota; Metazoa; Chordata; Mammalia; Artiodactyla; Physeteridae. The record is from RefSeq and is a predicted model, not a curated record. The transcript is spliced from 3 exons.
GGACCGUCGCCCCGUGCCCAAGCCUGUUUCCCAGCUCAAGACGCCGGGCUGUCUCUGUGCUGUGAGAAUCAGUGAAGGCAGCUCUUGGCAAGACAUCGUGACCCUAAAUUGCUAAACAGGAAUUCCACACCAUGCUUGGCUUCAACUUGGUCUUUAUUCGAAGCUAGAAGAUGGCAGCCAAACAGGGCACCUCCCUCCAGCCCUGUCAUCUCACGGCUCCAGGACCCGCUCCUCCUUCCCCCGACAGCGGCCCGACGGGGUCUCUGAUGCUCACACGAGGCGGCCUGGCACAGACGCGCCUUGCCCUCGGCAGAGAGCGUAUCGCUCAGGACUCGUCUAGUGACCCUUCUUCCUCCCCUGCUUGACUGGAGGCACCCCAAGCGUUCACCAGCCUGUACUCAGGGCCUGCGUCCUGCCGGGUGUCAUGUGCUCAGUAAAUACCUGUCCUCUGGACGGAGAAGCGUAAGGCCGCGUGACUGGAUGGGCAGACACGCUGGAGGCUGAUGGCUGAGAAGAUGGAUGGAUACAGGGCUGGCUGGGUGGCCGGGUGGGCGGACUGACGGCCUGGGUCGGGCUUCCAGCACCAUCA